AAGCUAAGUCUAUCUUCUUAGGUCAAACCUUUGACUGCAUUAAAUGAUACCCUUUUCACAAAUAUUGGCUAACAAAUUUCCCCCCAGAAACGUUAUGUUUGAACUCGUCUUUCGAUCAAGAGAAACUUGACGUUUCUGAAAAUUGUCGAUAAAGUACAACAUCUUCGAGUGACGUCCCUUCCUUAAGAAAGGAUAUUUCAAAAGUUAUUUUUUCAAACUGUCCCCACCAUAGCUUAGUGGGCCAUGUUUAUCAUUGGGAACCAUAAAAAACAACCGUUCCAUGA
RNAcentral lists this long non-coding RNA (284 nucleotides) under Medicago truncatula (barrel medic). RNAcentral's name for it is "long non-coding RNA (MTRU_LNC007525)". The record is from RNAcentral. Lineage: Eukaryota; Viridiplantae; Streptophyta; Magnoliopsida; Fabales; Fabaceae.